This 397-nucleotide ribosomal RNA is filed under the name uncultured bacterium. RNAcentral describes it as "partial 16S ribosomal RNA". It matches the Rfam family "Bacterial small subunit ribosomal RNA", at positions 523 to 918 of the family's 1533-position model. The record is from RNAcentral.
AUACGUAGGUGACAAGCGUUAUCCGGAUUUACUGGGCGUAAAGGGCGUGUAGGCGGUCUUGCAAGUCAGAAGUGAAAUUCCUGAGCUCAACUCGGGCGCUGCUUCUGAAACUGAAGGACUUGAGUGCUGGAGGGGAUAGCGGAAAUCCACGUGGAGCGGUAAAAUGCGCAGAUAUUAGGAAGAACACCGGUGGCGAAGGCGGCUAUCUGGACAGUAACUGACGCUGAGGCGCGAAAGCGUGGGGAGCAAACAGGAUUAGAUACCCUGGUAGUCCACGUCGUAAACGAUGAAUACUAGGUGUGGGGGGUAUCGACUCCCUCUGUGCCGCAGUUAACACAAUAAGUAUUCCGCCUGGGGAGUACGGCCGCAAGGUUGAAACUCAAAUGAAUUGACGGGG